GCUGCAGUGUUCUGUGAUUGCGUCUGUGGAGCGCCACCGCACUUCAGUCUGGACAACAUAAUGAAACCUCAUCUCUUAGAAAUGAACUGGCUGAUGUUAGGUACUUGCCAGGGUAGACGACCUUAACUAAGCCCCUGGGGUUCUGUGAGACCUCUGCAAAUAGAUCUUCUGCUUAACUGUUCAAAAAGGCAAGGGCUGUCCCCCUCAAAAAACAACAUUGACUUCUAGAGACCCAUGGAGAGAUGGAAGUUUCUGAAGACUGGCUUGCUAGAUAGGAAAAUAACCAAUGCUCCAGCAGUGUUCUUGGGAUUGGAAUUUGCUGAUUCAUGUUUUUUAAAAUGCAUGAUCACAUCAAAUUUGCUGAGCUGUUGACUAUCAACCCAGCCUAAACCCACCGGCUCUUACCCUUUAACUUUCAUAAAAGAGAAGCCUGAUUUUGUUCAGGUAUCUAGCCUUCUCCCAAAGACCCUGUGUGGCUUGAAGGAUACCUUUGCUGGAGCCAUGGAUAGGAUAAAUCUCGAUCAGUAAAACAAUUAGGAAAUCCUGUACUUUUGCAAUUGGUUCGGAAUGAUUCGUACAUGACAAAGGACACACGAGGCAAUUUGGAGGGGCUCUCAUUGGCCAAAUCUGGCAAAAUUUGAGUAUCAAAAAGAUAAGAUGGUACCAUUGAAUAGAAAGAGAAUCGAACUCCAUAGGGAUUUCAAAGAAAAAGAGGUUGGGGAGGGUGCAGAGAAAAAAAACAACAGCAUCUUUAUAGAAGAGUGCCCCUAAAAAAAUGCAGAAAGAGAGAGUGAGAAAAGUACCACUUUGCUACCACCAAAUGUAAUAAUUGAUUAAGGUAUUUUCACCAUUGAGUGGGAAGUUAAGAAAUGAAACAUGUAUUCUCAAAGUACCACCUCAUUUAAAAAGGAGAAGAGGUACUUUUACACGGAUAAAUCUGAUGAAUACGACCCCAACCAUGUAGUCACAAUAAUGGGACAAUUUAAUAUGUUCUUCCCCAUGUCCUGGAUGCCACUGGAAGUGCACACUGCUUGUAUGUAAUAUUCUUGCCAAAAUGUUUAUGCUGAAUCUAUAAUCUCAGAGCUUAUCCACAUAUCAGAACACUAGUUUUAUAGUCUGACUAUACUUGAAAUAUUCACAAAUAUUUAUUUUGCUAUUAAUCCUUGGGUCAAAGUUUAUUUUUCUUGAAUGCAAUAUUUGUAUUUCAAAUGUUCCAUCAACAUUUACAACUUUUAAAGUUUUCAUCAUAAGUCUCAAACAUCUUGCUGUUUUUUUUUAAAUCAUGAAUGGGUAUUGGAUUUUGUGCAAUGCUUUUUCUGGUCUUUUGAGAUGUUGAGAUGAUGCUUUUUCUGGCUCUGUGCUUUAUUAUAUGGUGUAUUAUGUUAACUGAUAAUUCAGAUGUUAAACCAACCUUGCAUUCCUGGGAUAAGUUCCACAUGGUAAUAAUAUAGCAUUUUUUUUUUGUAUAUUGCUAGAUUCAGUUUGCUAAUAUUUUGCUGAGAAUUUUUGCAUCUAACCUCAUGAGGAACAUUGGUCUGCAAUUUUCUUUUGAUGUCUUUGGUUUUAGUAUCAGGUUAUUACUGGUCUCAUAGUAUGAGUUGGGAAAUAUUCCUUCCAUCUCUGUUUUAUGAGUUCAUUAA
RNAcentral lists this long non-coding RNA (1640 nucleotides) under Homo sapiens (human). Its description in RNAcentral is "non-protein coding lnc-PIGN-7:2". The record is from RNAcentral. Lineage: Eukaryota; Metazoa; Chordata; Mammalia; Primates; Hominidae.